GAUGAUUGAUGCGAAACGUCAAAUUUUAAGUAUCCGAAGAAAAGAUUCAGCGAAAACCGCGCUUAGAAAUAAGCAAGAAAAAUGAGAAAACCGAAGUCGGAUUUCAUCAAUGUUGCAGUCUGAAUACUAAUUUACUUUCGAAAGUGGCCCGAUAUGGUUAAACUGUAUCAAAAUCCUGGAAGGCAGUAGUUUUAAAAGUACAGAUUCAGUGAAUACUGCACUGGAGGGAUUUAAGACAACCAUAAAAGUAAGGCCAAGUGAAGAAGUACUUUUGUUGAACAGGAAUCCGAAUAUUGAACAGGAAAUUCCCCCAGAAAUUAGUGUUAGAAACAAAACGAAAAAGCAACCCUGCAAACCUCGAUGAACCUUGAUCAGACCUAAGAGACAAAUAUAUUUUCUCUUCUCAACCUUGACUCAUAGAAGAGAGAAGAAUCAUUCGCAAUCACGAAUAGAAAAUUUUUGGUCAAAUUUCUUAAUGUAUUCUUCUAUACUAUACCAUAUUGAAUACUACUGAAUGAAUUGAAUUAUACUUUUAAUUCCAA
This is a long non-coding RNA of Dendroctonus ponderosae (mountain pine beetle), 542 nucleotides long. RefSeq lists it as uncharacterized. The record is from RefSeq and is a predicted model, not a curated record. Lineage: Eukaryota; Metazoa; Arthropoda; Insecta; Coleoptera; Curculionidae. The transcript is spliced from 2 exons.